Tachyglossus aculeatus (Australian echidna) is the source of this 138-nucleotide small nucleolar RNA. NCBI's taxonomy places the organism in Eukaryota, Metazoa, Chordata, Mammalia, Monotremata, Tachyglossidae. The record is from RefSeq and is a predicted model, not a curated record.
CCCCUUUCAGGAUGGCACCUGGAGAGUUUCCAGUUUUCUACCAAUCUUGGUUACGAGAAGGAGAGUCAAGCAGAGGCCUAUCCAUUCCAUUCCUAGCUUGGCCAGUGGCUAGCGAGUGGAAGGCAAUCUGUUACAAGU